This is a small nucleolar RNA of Uloborus diversus, 130 nucleotides long. RefSeq annotates it as small nucleolar RNA SNORA57. The record is from RefSeq and is a predicted model, not a curated record. The transcript has a single exon. NCBI's taxonomy places the organism in Eukaryota, Metazoa, Arthropoda, Arachnida, Araneae, Uloboridae.
CCUCCUUCUUGGCACUCCUACACUUAUAAUGGUGUUGAUGUGAAUGCUUAAUGGAGGUACAGCAAUUAAGGACUAUGCCUUCGGUGCCAAGACUUGUGUUUUGGACCUAUCCUUGAGGUCCUUUACAAGU